GCAUCUUGGGGGUUGUUCGAAUUGGCUUGUUUCCGGUGGAUGGCUCUUUGCGUAUGCAACAACUUCCACCUGCAUGCCUCUUCAUAUAUACGCUUCAAGGAUAUUUCUCCUUGUGCGGUUAUGGUUUCCUGUGUUGCCUACCUAUCUAUUGGAACUGUGUGGUUAUAAUAGUAUAUGUUUACGUCUUACGUCAAACUUUUGGCGUGGGGUGAACAUCAAAGCAAAUUUUGUGAUCCAUCUUGAUGCUCAUGCAUUAAUAACGUGGCUCGCAUAUAUUUUGCUUGGUCUUGUGGGUACAGAACAUGAUGUGGGCAUGUGUCGAUGUGAUUCUUAGAUUUGCCCUUGAUGAACGUUGUUAUUUAUUUGAGACGACGUCCUAGCCCGAAUUGGCUCGUACCACCGGGUAGGUUUUGUUGUCAAAGAGUAAUGACAUCGUUCUUGCUUCUCUAAAACGAACAGCCUAGCCUGUAGUGGCUCGUACCAGCAGGUAGGCUAUUUCGAAAAGGGAUGCUACCUGGUUGAUCCUGCCAGUAGUCAUAUGCUUGUCUCAA
Molecule: unclassified non-coding RNA, 551 nt
Filed under: Caesulia axillaris
Lineage: Eukaryota; Viridiplantae; Streptophyta; Magnoliopsida; Asterales; Asteraceae
Description: contains 3 external transcribed spacer, ETS
Source: RNAcentral